UUUAACCAACUCAAACUAAGAGGCACUCCACACACAGAGAGACGAACAAAUACACAGACAGACACAGAGACAUACAGACACACAGACAGACACACACAGACACAGAGACACACAAAAACACAACACAAAUACACAGAUACACACACAGAGACAUACAGACACUUACGCAUAGACACACACACAGACAAAUAGAAACAUACAGCCACACAGACAGACACACAGACAAAUAGAAACACACAGACACACACAAACACCACUUGAGGUUUUGGUGGUGGAGAGUGAUGGCCAGAAGAACGAGGAAUGCAUCACCGAUAGCUGGAGUCUUGUACACAGGUCCGGACGGUAUCACUGAUUACAGACCACACUUAGCUGAUAGCAGAGUCAACUCCGUUGUAAACUUCAUCACUACGGGAAAUCCUAACACAGCCUUUACCAAACACCACGUUGGAUCGAUCGGGUGGGGUGUGGAAAACCUGGCGUGGAUCAAUCACUCAGCCCUCUCCUCCGGACACCAGAUCAAGAGGGGCCCAUUCCUUCAGGCUGCUGAGGACUCUCACAGCCACAACCACCAGCACCCGUGG
Long non-coding RNA from Lethenteron reissneri (Far Eastern brook lamprey), 581 nucleotides. RefSeq lists it as uncharacterized. The record is from RefSeq and is a predicted model, not a curated record. Lineage: Eukaryota; Metazoa; Chordata; Hyperoartia; Petromyzontiformes; Petromyzontidae.